AGUCACUGACAUUAGAUACCCGCGUAGUCCAGGGUGUAAACGCUGCAGACUUGGUGUUGGAGGCCCUUUGGGGGCAUUCAGUGCCGGAGAGAAGUUGUUAAGUCUGCUACUUGGGGAGUACGUCCGCAAGGAUGAAACUUAAAGGAAUUGCGGGGGAGCACCGCAACGGGAGGAGCGUGCGGUUUAAUUGGAUUCAACACCGUAAAACUCACCAGGGAAGACUGUUACAUGAAGGCCGAGAUGAAGACUCUGCCAGAUUUUCAG
RNAcentral lists this ribosomal RNA (264 nucleotides) under uncultured archaeon. RNAcentral's name for it is "partial 16S ribosomal RNA". It matches the Rfam family "Archaeal small subunit ribosomal RNA", at positions 716 to 982 of the family's 1478-position model. The record is from RNAcentral.